Non-coding RNA from Cinara cedri, 229 nucleotides. The record is from the annotation of a GenBank genome assembly. NCBI's taxonomy places the organism in Eukaryota, Metazoa, Arthropoda, Insecta, Hemiptera, Aphididae.
ACUUUAUUAUUUCGUUGUGAUUUUAUCGUCUCGUAAAAACGCACGCGUUACAGCAAUGUUUCGGUAUGUAUACAAUAUGAUAAUUUAUACCGAUAACCGGUGAUGAUAGCAAUGUAAAUGGUUACACAGGGAAUAUCGUAUUGAAACGAUUGCGUAUCAAUAAUCGUAAGCGGUUCUGAGUAUGUGUGUAUUGUCCAAGUGACGAUCCGCGCUCAUUACCCCUCCGGGA